CGGAGCGUAGCGCAGCCUGGUAGCGCAUCUGCCUUGGGCGCAGAGGGUCGUGGGUUCAAAUCCCGCCGCUCCGACCA
Molecule: transfer RNA, 77 nt
Filed under: Lentisphaerota bacterium
Lineage: Bacteria; Pseudomonadati; Lentisphaerota
Also listed under: 1 other name
Description: Lentisphaerae bacterium (anaerobic digester metagenome) tRNA-Pro
Rfam family: tRNA
About the family: Transfer RNA (tRNA) molecules are approximately 80 nucleotides in length. Their secondary structure includes four short double-helical elements and three loops (D, anti-codon, and T loops).
Source: RNAcentral